GACGAACGCUGGCGGCGUGCUUAACACAUGCAAGUCGAACGGAAAGGCCCUGCUUGCAGGGUACUCGAGUGGCGAACGGGUGAGUAACACGUGGGUGUUCUGCCCUGCACUUCGGGAUAAGCCUGGGGAACUGGGUCUAUUACCGGAUAGGAGCCAUUUUUAGUGUGAUGGUUGGAAAGUUUUUUUGGUGUAGGAUGAGCUCGCGGCCUAUCAGUUUGUUGGUGGGGUAAUGGCCUACCAAGGCGGCGACGGGGAGCCGGCCUGGGAGGGUGGACGGCCACAUUGGGACUUGGAUACGGCCCAGACUCCUACGGGGGGGAGCAGGGGGGAAUAUUGCACAAUGGGGGCGAGCCUGAUGCAGCGACGCCGCGGGGGGGAUGACGGCCUUCGGGUUGUAAACUCCUUUCGCUAGGGACGAAGCUGUUUGUGACGGUACCUAGAUAAGAAGCACCGGCUAACUACGUG
RNAcentral lists this ribosomal RNA (465 nucleotides) under uncultured bacterium. RNAcentral describes it as "partial 16S ribosomal RNA". It matches the Rfam family "Bacterial small subunit ribosomal RNA", at positions 28 to 507 of the family's 1533-position model. The record is from RNAcentral.